Long non-coding RNA from Stylophora pistillata, 2328 nucleotides. RefSeq lists it as uncharacterized. NCBI's taxonomy places the organism in Eukaryota, Metazoa, Cnidaria, Anthozoa, Scleractinia, Pocilloporidae. The record is from RefSeq and is a predicted model, not a curated record.
AAGCAGUGAGGGACCAAAUACAAGACUUAACAUUAUCACUACGAUCCGCGACUCGUUUUGCCUAACAGUUUUUUAGUUGAACUUAUGCUGCUUAAAGAUACUAGAGAACUGACUUGAAUUUCUGGGUUCAAAUGAAUAUCUUGACAACAUUACACACCGUCUGUUGUGAAAUGGGGAUGCAACAAUGUCAAUGGAAACCAAUUAGGAUUACUCGGGAGAGCUUCUGUGCAGUUUUAGAAGCAAUGAAAGUCACACAACAAAGAACCGUCGAGGAUUGCAACUGGUGUUGCGUUUCCAAAGCUAAAAAAAAGGAGAGACGACAGUCGCCAUCGACUCGUGGAUGUCACGUCUAUUUAAGGCCGAGUAUUCUAUCCAAGAUAUACAUGUGAGCUAAAAGCAAGAUCUCCAGCUGGGAAGGAAAGAAAAACAGAGAACAAUCAAGACGAUGGAAAACAUUAAAGGAAAAGGAAAUAUGGCAGUCAUAUUUACAUUUGUAAGCAGUUUAAACUCCGCAACUCCGCUCAAGUCAGGGUUACAGCAUUGAAAAAAAACAAACGGUUACUCUUGCUAGUGAGACAACUGUGUGGUUCUACAUUCCAACGAGGUUCGCUAUUCUCCAGUAAAACAAAGAACAACAAUGGAUGACUACUAAUCAACCCUGCUGCUAUUCAAAGUGGACUUAUUUACAAAAAUACAAUGUCAUGACUGAGUAGCAGCUUUUCUGUCAUAUUUGACUUUUCAUAAGAGAUUAACUGGUGGAAAUACAGCAGAACAGUAUAAGAAUUACUUAUAUCACAUGAUCAGUCCAUAACUUGAUCUUUGAAGAGACCUCGUUCUAUUUAUAACUAAUGAACUGCAUCGGGUAUUGAGUUGCCGCAUACUGUUCCAAAAACUGUCACACUCUUCUGCCAAUCUUAAGAAAGGAAUCUGUUCUCCUAGUUUAUUCGUGGUAGGCGAAGAACAUGGCCAUAAGCUUCUCUCCAUGUUUUGUCGGUCAGGUAGCAACAGGUCAAACUGAGUGGUGACCAUAUUCUGUCAACACUACUCCCUUAAGAAAAAACGAAUAAAUAUAGAUGCUGUUCCAGAAUUUCCCCUGACCGUGUUCUUUUAUUUUUAUGCCUUACAAAGGCAGGAGGUGAAAAAGGGAACCAUCACUAGCUGUUUUGUUUUCUUUUUUGUUCGUCCUUUUUUUUAUAUAUAUAUUCUUAAGAUUCUGGCCUUCCGAUUCAUUUUCAGUGGAGGUGAACUUGAGAAAAUAAGCGAGAAAGCAGAAACUUUUCGUAAUGUACUUAAAGCUCAUUAGAGAAAGGCUGAAAUAACAAACUGAAACUAACCAAAACCCCAUUCCUCCCUAAAAAGUAGGCCUUUUGUAUUACGUAACUUCUCCUAUAGGCAAAUCUUUCAUCAUGAAUGAUUACCAACAGGUAAUCCCACAUAAAGAAGUCAAUUUGUGAAGCGUCUGAUUAUUUUUUGGGAAAACUUUCGUGCGCGAUUGGUAAGUGUCUAAAGUUUCCUUACAGACCAGAUCCCAGGAGCCCAGAUAUAGCAUGGGAGUUAUUACAAAGCGCGACAAGUGUUAUUAGAAAGUGCAACUAUCAUUACAAAAUACGACACAACAGACAUCCUAAACAACGCCCAGUUGUAGUUGUAAACUGAUAACGUGAUAACUUACAGGUCAAAGUUCGUUCUUUAAUAUUUUUGACAGUAGAGGAUUUGAAGUGCAGUGAGUAACUCGAGGCAGCUGGUAUUUGAGACUGAGUGAUUUCCGUUAUCAGGUGUUAAUUAUAGCCCACAACUCUGCUGAUCAAUAUGAGAAAUGAAUGCGAAAUCAAUCGAUCACGACUGUCCAAUAAAUAUUUAGCAAAAAACUUUUAAAAUAGAAGGGCUCUUUUGUCACAGUUUAAUUUAGUAGCCUUUGAAGAGCGUUAAGAAAGUAGAGUGUGGAAGAAUAAUAAAAAUUUCAGCUUAAGGCUGUCCGAUUUAUGGGCAGUAGUUAUUUUCCGGACUAAAAGGAAAGCCAGCUUCGCUACUGCUUACGUUAAGCCAGAUGAAUAUCAUGUUAUCCGAACACGAUAUUCAUAUCAACUGGUGUCAGUCUCACAUUUACGUAAUUAUCAUUAAGCAGUUAACAGUAGUUGUGAGUAGCAGUUCAGGUCAGAAGUCUGACUAAAGGUUUUCUGUUCUUUCCCAGAUGAAAGUCACUUUGAUAAUGCCACUGUUUGUUCUUUUUGGCGUUUCCAAGACUAUAACUGCAGUCAACAGAAGGUUGAGGCAUACCUUGGACUCCCCUUGGUCACGUAUUAUGAUAGUUCUCCCCCGUCUUCAAGA